Molecule: ribosomal RNA, 535 nt
Filed under: uncultured Methanosarcinales archaeon
Lineage: Archaea; Methanobacteriati; Methanobacteriota; Methanomicrobia; Methanosarcinales
Description: bacterial SSU rRNA
Rfam family: Archaeal small subunit ribosomal RNA
Source: RNAcentral
GCGCGAAAACUUUACAAUGCCGGCAACGGCGAUAAGGGGACCUCGAGUGCCAGGUUACAAAUCUGGCUGUCGUGAUGCCUAAAAAGCAUUGCAUAGCAAGGGCCGGGCAAGACCGGUGCCAGCCGCCGCGGUAACACCGGCGGCUCGAGUGGUAACCGUUAUUAUUGGGUCUAAAGGGUCUGUAGCCGGCCAGAUAAGUCUCUUGAGAAAUCCAGCAGCUCAACUGUUGGGCUUUCAGGAGAUACUGUCUGGCUCGAGGCCGGGAGAGGUGAGAGGUACUUCAGGGGUAGGGGUGAAAUCUUGUAAUCCUUGAAGGACCACCAGUGGCGAAGGCGUCUCACCAGAACGGACCUGACGGCAAGGGACGAAAGCUAGGGGCACGAACCGGAUUAGAUACCCGGGUAGUCCUAGCCGUAAACGAUACUCGCUAGGUGUCGGCCACGGUGCGACCGUUGUCGGUGCCGUAGGGAAGCCGUGAAGCGAGCCACCUGGGAAGUACGGCCGCAAGGCUGAAACUUAAAGGAAUUGGCGGGGG